Molecule: ribosomal RNA, 542 nt
Filed under: uncultured bacterium
Lineage: Bacteria
Description: bacterial SSU rRNA
Rfam family: Bacterial small subunit ribosomal RNA
Source: RNAcentral
AAUAGAUACCCGGGUAGUCCAUGCCGUAAACGAUGUCUACUAGCCGUUGGGGCCUUUGAGGCUUUAGUGGCGCAGCUAACGCGAUAAGUAGACCGCCUGGGGAGUACGGUCGCAAGACUAAAACUCAAAUGAAUUGACGGGGGCCCGCACAAGCGGUGGAGCAUGUGGUUUAAUUCGAUGCAACGCGAAGAACCUUACCUGGCCUUGACAUACUAAGAACUUUCUAGAGAUAGAUUGGUGCCUUCGGGAACUUAGAUACAGGUGCUGCAUGGCUGUCGUCAGCUCGUGUCGUGAGAUGUUGGGUUAAGUCCCGCAACGAGCGCAACCCUUUUCCUUAUUUGCCAGCGGGUUAAGCCGGGAACUUUAAGGAUACUGCCAGUGACAAACUGGAGGAAGGCGGGGACGACGUCAAGGUCAUCAUGGCCCUUACGGCCAGGGCUACACACGUGCUGCAAUGGUCGGUACAAAGGGUUGCUACCUAGCGAUAGGAUGCUAAUCUCAAAAAGCCGAUCGUAGUCCGGAUUGGAGUCUGCAACUCGACU